UUUUUUGUCGCGUUUUUUAAUUUCCGGAUCUGCGCAGAACACAUAACUCUACUUCCUUCUUCCGGUCUUGUUGUCGUGAGACUUUGAUUAGUCUAGUAAAAUAUAGGAACUCAAGGAACACAAUACCAAUAUAUUUCAUUUUUAAUCAUUCUUUGUCUUUGGUAUGAAUAAACGUUACCUGAUGCAUUGCGUUUCUUUGUUUACAUUGAACAUGACGUCAUAACUUAAAUAACGUCGCAAGUAAAAUCCCUAACAACAGAACCAAAAUCGGAAACGUUACGGUAUUUCCGUUUCUUUUUUUAACAAAUAUUUUUAAGUUACAAAAA
RNAcentral lists this long non-coding RNA (326 nucleotides) under Mytilus galloprovincialis (Mediterranean mussel). Lineage: Eukaryota; Metazoa; Mollusca; Bivalvia; Mytilida; Mytilidae. The record is from RNAcentral.